RNAcentral lists this ribosomal RNA (814 nucleotides) under uncultured bacterium. RNAcentral's name for it is "bacterial SSU rRNA". It matches the Rfam family "Bacterial small subunit ribosomal RNA", at positions 563 to 1378 of the family's 1533-position model. The record is from RNAcentral.
AAGAGCUCGUAGGUGGUCCGCUCACGUCGGAUGUGAAAAUCUGGGGCUCAACCCCAGACCUGCAUUCGAUACGGGCGAGCUAGAGUGUGGUAGGGGAGACUGGAAUUCCUGGUGUAGCGGUGGAAUGCGCAGAUAUCAGGAGGAACACCAAUGGCGAAGGCAGGUCUCUGGGCCAUUACUGACACUGAGGAGCGAAAGCGUGGGGAGCGAACAGGAUUAGAUACCCUGGUAGUCCACGCCGUAAACGAUGGGCACUAGUUGUGGGAACCUUCCACGGUUUCUGCGACGCAGCUAACGCAUUAAGUGCCCCGCCUGGGGAGUACGAUCGCAAGAUUAAAACUCAAAGGAAUUGACGGGGCCCCGCACAAGCAGCGGAGCAUGCGGCUUAAUUCGACGCAACGCGAAGAACCUUACCAAGGCUUGACAUAUACAGGAAUAUGGCAGAGAUGUCAUAGCCGCAAGGUCUGUAUACAGGUGGUGCAUGGUUGUCGUCAGCUCGUGUCGUGAGAUGUUGGGUUAAGUCCCGCAACGAGCGCAACCCUCGUUCUGUGUUGCCAGCAUUUAGUUGGGGACUCACAGGAGACUGCCGGGGUUAACUCGGAGGAAGGUGGGGAUGACGUCAAAUCAUCAUGCCCCUUAUGUCUUGGGCUGCACGCAUGCUACAAUGGCUGGUACAAACGGCUGCGAUACCGCAAGGUGGAGCGAAUCCGAAAAAGCCAGUCUCAGUUCGGAUUGGGGUCUGCAACUCGACCCCAUGAAGUCGGAGUUGCUAGUAAUCGUAGAUCAGCAACGCUACGGUGAAUACGUUCCCGGG